CCGAGCCUUGAGAGCCCGGCCCUGGGCAACACCUCGAUCUGGGACCAGUGGUGCUGACUUUGGACACCAGGCCCCAGAACUGGGAAAGAAUAGAUUAGAUUGUUUGAAACCACCAAACUUGUGGCUUAGGAAAUGACUAUCCUCUUUCAUCACUCCCGUUGUUUUUCUCAGGAACAAUGACCAUGCGCCAUUGUAUAGAUGAGGAAGCGCAUGCGCUUGGAGAGGCGGCCCGCUCAGCCCAGGUACAGGCAGAGGCAGAGCCAGGGGACGGACCACAUGCAGCUCAUCCUUCCGGGAGCUUCGCUGGGCAACAAUCAACCUGCUAACACGCUACCAAAAACAAACAAUAUGCCCAGGACAUCAUCAACCA
Molecule: long non-coding RNA, 370 nt
Filed under: Heterocephalus glaber (naked mole-rat)
Lineage: Eukaryota; Metazoa; Chordata; Mammalia; Rodentia; Bathyergidae
Description: lncRNA (ENSHGLG00000039096.1)
Source: RNAcentral